CGCGAGGAUCAUACGACCAGCUCCCUCUGAAUCCCCCAGGGCAGAAAUGCAGCAAGGGCAGGAGGUUGUAGCGGUGCGAUAUGAUUCCUCGCUUUU
This 96-nucleotide signal recognition particle RNA is filed under the name Saprospirales bacterium. RNAcentral describes it as "signal recognition particle sRNA small type". It matches the Rfam family "Bacteroidales small SRP", at positions 10 to 101 of the family's 107-position model. From Rfam's summary of the family: The non-coding component of the signal recognition particle in Bacteroides Lineage: Bacteria; Pseudomonadati; Bacteroidota; Saprospiria; Saprospirales. The record is from RNAcentral.